Molecule: ribosomal RNA, 250 nt
Filed under: uncultured bacterium
Lineage: Bacteria
Description: partial 16S ribosomal RNA
Rfam family: Bacterial small subunit ribosomal RNA
Source: RNAcentral
UGGGGAAUUUUGGACAAUGGGGGCAACCCUGAUCCAGCCAUUCCGCGUGAGUGAAGAAGGCCUUCGGGUUGUAAAGCUCUUUCGGCAGGAACGAAACGGCGGGCUCUAACAUAGCCUGUCACUGACGGUACCUGAAGAAGAAGCACCGGCUAACUACGUGCCAGCAGCCGCGGUAAUACGUAGGGUGCGAGCGUUAAUCGGAAUUACUGGGCGUAAAGCGUGCGCAGGCGGUUCCAUAAGACAGAUGUGA